Molecule: long non-coding RNA, 696 nt
Organism: Mauremys reevesii (Reeves's turtle)
Lineage: Eukaryota; Metazoa; Chordata; Testudines; Geoemydidae
Exons: 3
Source: RefSeq, a predicted model, not a curated record
CAGUUACAAAAGAUAGGUAACCGUUUUUUCUUCUUUGAGUGCUAGCUCAUAUUGAUUCCAUUCUAGGUGAUCUACAAGCAGUAUACUCAGAGAUGGGCUCAGAGUUCACAGUCUAGUGGCCUGUAGCACUGCUCUACCGAAGCCAACAUCAUCCGAGGUCUCCUGGCCCCAGGUUGUGACAGAUGGAACAAACCAGAUCGAGAUGCCAUGGCACCUGAUCCUGGGACCGAUCAUUUAUUAGCCAGUCAUUGAGGUACAGGUGCCCAUCUGGGGAGUCCCCCCAGGACCUAGACCGUGGAGGCAGAGGAGGCAGAGGGCAUAACAGCCUCCUGGCCUGCUGAGAAGUAUGGAAGCUCAAGGAGCGAAGGGUGGCAUGCGAGUCUUUAAGGCCCGAGAGUCUUGCAUCUGUGAGCUAGGAGAAGAGCCCCGCCCCCUCAAACGGAAGGUCCUGAAUGAUGGCCUGCAUCACCUGGGAUAACCCAGAGGACUGCAACCAGGAACUGCACCUCAUGGCCACCACAAAGGCGACCACCCUGGCCGCUGAGUCAGUAGCAGCCCAGACCAUUUAAAGGGCCCUUCUUGCCACCGCUAUGCCCUUGUCCACCAAAGCGACAAACUCCUGGGCUCAGUCCUGCGGGAGGGCCUCCUUGAACAUGUUAAAGUUAAAAUUGUACCUGCCUAACAGGGCCAAGUGGU